Molecule: unclassified non-coding RNA, 495 nt
Filed under: Hevea brasiliensis (rubber tree)
Lineage: Eukaryota; Viridiplantae; Streptophyta; Magnoliopsida; Malpighiales; Euphorbiaceae
Source: RNAcentral
GUAGGGAUCCCAUCUCAGCUGCGUUUAACUGCUUGUGUCAUGGCAGAUUGGUUUCUGUGCUUUCUCUAUGGAUGUUCCUUGAAAAUUCACAACAAUGGAAGUAGAACUUGAAACCUCUAGAUUCUCAGGACCUCAACUUUAGCACAAGGCUAAAGCCACAUUGGCCAAUAACCGUUCUUACAUGAAAGGAGUCUUGACAGACUCAUGGGGCAGCAGCGGCCGAGGGAAGAAGUUCUUGCAUGGACCUAAUCCAUCACACUGCAUAUAAACUAAUCACUUACCAAGGAAAAAAAGUUACAAAAUUAUUCAAAUUGUUUUCCUGCACCCAAGGCCUUUAAAUAUCAUAAAAUUACCAAUUAGUAAGUAUCCUACACAAAACUUAUAAAGAAAUCAUUUCAGCAUUCCAGUUGUGGUUAUACAUUGCUGCAGCUUCUCAUUCAAAUCACUAUAGAAAAGGAAUCAAGCAGGUCUCAUUUGAAAAACUCUAUUGUACCA